This 497-nucleotide ribosomal RNA is filed under the name uncultured bacterium. Its description in RNAcentral is "partial 16S ribosomal RNA". It matches the Rfam family "Bacterial small subunit ribosomal RNA", at positions 28 to 507 of the family's 1533-position model. The record is from RNAcentral.
GAUGAACGCUGGCGGCGUGCCUAAUACAUGCCAGUCGAGCGAACAGACGAGGAGCUUGCUCCUCUGACGUUAGCGGCGGACGGGUGAGUAACACGUGGAUAACCUACCUAUAAGACUGGGAUAACUUCGGGAAACCGGAGCUAAUACCGGAUAAUAUAUUGAACCGCAUGGUUCAAUAGUGAAAGACGGUUUUGCUGUCACUUAUAGAUGGAUCCGCGCCGCAUUAGAUAGUUGGUAAGGUAACGGCUUACCAAGGCAACGAGGCGUAGACGACCUGAGAGGGUGGUAGGCCACACUGGAACUGAGACACGGUCCAGACUCCUAAGGGAGGCAGCAGAAGGGAAUCUUCCGCAAUGGGCGAAAGCAUGACGGAGCAACGCCGCGUGAGUGAUGAAGGUCUUCGGAUCGUAAAAAUCUGUUAUUAGGGAAGAACAAAUGUGUAAGUAACUAUGCACGGCUUGACGGUACCUAAUCAGAAAGCCACGGCUAACUACGUG